AAAGUAAGGGAGUUUUAUAAAAAAAAAAAGAACACCCAAUCCCCCCAUUCCCUCGAAACCCUAGCCACUACUGUUCCCCCAUCCCUUCUCUUCCUUUCCCUUGCCCUUGCGCCGCCGCCGCUUUGCCUUCUCCUCGCCGGCGACGACGGCUUGCCCCUCGAGCUUUUUUGCCGUCCAUCACGCGAGGGUGGACGGGGGAGUUAACUUUUGGCUGCCCUCUACUGCCAUCCAAAAACCCUAGCCGCACCGAAGUCGCCGCCUCCUCACAAACUCCUCUGCGCGUUCUCCUUCGUCCAGGCGCUGCUGUGGUCGUUGGUGAAUCGUCGACGCCGUGGUGAACCUGCGGAGGGACCAGACCACGUGGGGCUCGGGGCGAGGUUUGGCCGUGACGCCUGUCGUCGCUUCGUCGCCCUCCCCCUGCCCAAUCUCUCCAUCUCUCUUCCCAGUUAAGCAGGGAGAGUGGUCAUGAUGCAGAACGAGGGCGAGAGGGUCGAUCUGCUGGCCCUGCCACUCGAUCCGUUCAAGUAGGGGUGGUGGUGAUGGAGAUCAACCAGGGCUGCUGGUGAUGGAGAACGACAACGAGGUGAUCGAUCUGCUGGCCUAUCGCUAGAUCCGGUGGGUACAUGCACUCAAGUUCGCCAUGAAGCCGAUGCAAUCCUUCUCCAUCUCCACAGUGGGUUGGCGCCCUUCUGCUCAAGUUUGAAGCUCCGCUGCCGUGCGGCGCCGACACUGUUUCGCAAUUGCAGAUCUGGCCAGCAACAGGUAAUCUGGGAACCAUCUGUCGUCGCCUAGCCAAGGGCCAUUUGCAAUUGCCUUGCCAUUGUUAUUUAUGGUGUAAUUUACUUAGGGGCAAUGGAUGUAUGCAACUUCAUCAUUAAUUGAGAAUCCAUAUGUAUAGGUAUUUUGGGAACCUUUUUUUUUUUUGCCUUUUCCUACUUCCACUUCAAUUUUACUAGGUGAUAUUUUAGUUCCACAAUGGUUCACCUUGAACUCUUUUUCUAAAUGACGAUCAUAUUUAACGAAACCUUCACUGCAUGUUCUGAUAUGAUUGCUCGCCAUCAUCUCAGCCACUAUCUCAAAUUGCUUAUUACAGUGGUCGGAGGUAUGAUAUUUUGCAUGCCUCUUACAAGUAGUGCUAUGGCCUAUGUAAAUGUCUGCAAGACUACAAGGAAUCUAUGAAUCUAUCCUGCUCUGCUGAGGGAUUCUUUAUUUUAGUACAGUAGAGAACUGAGAUCAGUGCAAAUCGAGAAUUCAGGCUCUAUUUCUGCUCCUUAACAUCAGAAUUGAAGUUAUGUGGCAGAUUGUGUUAGAACAAAAACCUUCAGAGAAGCUCAACAUUUACUAAUAGAAGUACGUUUUUGGACUUGUGAUGCUUCUGGUGAGGUUUUUGGACUAGACCAACCAAUAGCAUUUAGGUUGUUGGGCUCGGUGAGAUCAUUACAAGCACUUGAAGGUAACUCUGUUCUUCAUUUGGCCUUUAGGAUUUGAGAGGCAAAAAUCAUUGACUAAAAUUACAAACUGUAGGUGUGGCUAAGUAAUUGGAUGAUUCACUGUGGUGCUGAUGCAAGUCAGCAUUGGUAGUCUUUGAAGAUGCAGAAUGAACUCUACUAAUUUAGGGCUAAGCCAUGCUGAUUUAAACUGAUAUAUAUUUAGUGCUCCUAUAGCAAUUGGUGAAGAAAUUGUGUGGAAGUUUCUGUUACAAUGAUGAAAUUAAGAACAUGUUUGGUAAUAUAUAAAUACUAUAGAUUGGAUCUGAAACGUGUUGUGGUGAGCUAUGGCACAAAAUCCUCUUUCCAUGAAUUGAACACAUAAUGGUUAGAGGUCGGAGAUUAAUGAUAUGGCCUAUGCAAAUAUCUACCAAGAUUCCUACACCCAUCAUGCUCUGCUUAGGGACACUGCAAUUUGCUCCAGUAGAACUUGAAAUCAGUACAAACUGCUAAGUGGGCUAAUUGCUAUACUCUUUCACUUUCUACACAAUUUUCUUUGGUGAUUGACAUUACAUUUUUUAUUUGUUCUUCGAAAGAAAAAUGAACCUUUCAGUUCCUUUCCAUGCUGAAAUUUCAUACAUUGAGUGCCAGUUACUCCAAAAGAGCUGAAUGCGUGGAGCCACAAGGUUGCAGGCAGGUCAAUAUACUUUGGAGCUGUGAUCUGUUGCUCUGUAGAUCCUGUGCAGUCAGAGGUUUGGUUUGCUUUGUAAGGACGAAUUGAUUUUUUGAAACUAGAAACUCAAGUGAAUUUGGCACACACCAUUAUAUUGUUCUUAUUUUGCAUCUGAUUUUGAGGUGAAGUUCACUUGGUCAGUUAAGUUAUAGCCACCAAAGGUUCCAUAUCAGAUUCCACAUAUCUAAAUGCUCAUUUAUAUUACAUGAAAUACUUCAUGAACCAUUUGUGCAUUUUGUAGGUUGUACAACUGGAACCUUCCAUCCCAUAAUUAUGGAUAUGAAUUGGUAAAUAACUCUGUAAAUUAAAGAAAAAAUUCCUUUUAAGCUUUUGUACAUAACUCUGUAAAUAUUUUCGUGUCAAAAAUUACAGAUGGUGAUAGAGAAAUUAUAUACAA
Oryza sativa Japonica Group (Japanese rice) is the source of this 2557-nucleotide non-coding RNA. The record is from RefSeq and is a predicted model, not a curated record. NCBI's taxonomy places the organism in Eukaryota, Viridiplantae, Streptophyta, Magnoliopsida, Poales, Poaceae.